Molecule: small RNA, 564 nt
Filed under: Pan troglodytes (chimpanzee)
Lineage: Eukaryota; Metazoa; Chordata; Mammalia; Primates; Hominidae
Description: processed transcript
Source: RNAcentral
ACUCCGAUGGCACUGGCGAGAGGAAAGGCUGCGAAGCGCAGAGCGAGGCUGCGGGGCCCCAGGAUGGGGGACAGGAGGCUGCGGGGCCUCAGGACUUGCACCUUCAAGAUCCCCUGUGUUUACCCAGCUGGAGGAUGAUGAACAGUCAUGGGUGCCCAGCUGGGUGGAUGUGACUCCAGUCAGCAGAGCAGAAGCCAGGAGAGGUUUUGGUCUUGUCUGCCAUCUCUACCAUGAUUUUCAGGCCCCGCAUGUUCCUGCCUCUCUGGCCUGUGUCUCCUCAUUGCCCUUCUCUGUAUCUGUGCAGAGCUGUCUACUGUUGGCGACUCAGUGCGUGUCUUGAAAUGUGCACAUAUCCUUAAACAGAUGGUUUGUGUAGAGUGGAGGAUGAGAGAGCCCAUCCUGAGCAUCUAAAGAGCUACAGAGUCAUCCAGCACCAGGACACUCAUAGUGAGGGGAAACCAAGAAGGCACACUGAGCAUGGGGCAGCCUUCCCACCUGGUUCCAGUUGUGGGCAACAGCAAGAAGUCCAUGUGGCAGAGAAGCUGUUCAAAUGCAGUGACUGUG